RNAcentral lists this ribosomal RNA (234 nucleotides) under Aeromonas enteropelogenes. RNAcentral's name for it is "partial 23S ribosomal RNA". It matches the Rfam family "Bacterial large subunit ribosomal RNA", at positions 1464 to 1695 of the family's 2925-position model. The record is from RNAcentral. Lineage: Bacteria; Pseudomonadati; Pseudomonadota; Gammaproteobacteria; Aeromonadales; Aeromonadaceae.
AUGGGGGGACGGAGAAGGCUAGGUGGGCCAGGCGACGGUUGUCCUGGUGAAAGUGCGUAGGCGGUACCUUUAGGUAAAUCCGGAGGUGCAACGCUGAGACACGAGACGAACGCACUACGGUGUGGAAGCCAUUGAUGCCCUGCUUCCAGGAAAAGCCUCUAAGCUUCAGAUUACAAGUCAUCGUACCCCAAACCGACACAGGUGGUCGGGUAGAGAAUACCAAGGCGCUUGAGA